This 422-nucleotide ribosomal RNA is filed under the name uncultured bacterium. Its description in RNAcentral is "bacterial SSU rRNA". It matches the Rfam family "Bacterial small subunit ribosomal RNA", at positions 355 to 774 of the family's 1533-position model. The record is from RNAcentral.
UAAGGAAUAUUGGACAAUGGAGGCAACUCUGAUCCAGCCAUGCCGCGUGAAGGAAUAAGGCCCUAUGGGUUGUAAACUUCUUUUAGACGGGACAAAACCCCUUUACGUGUAAAGGGUUGAUGGUACUGUCAGAAUAAGCAUCGGCUAACUUCGUGCCAGCAGCCGCGGUAAUACGAAGGAUGCAAGCGUUAUCCGGAAUUAUUGGGUUUAAAUGGUGCGUAGGCGGACUAAUAAGUCAGUGGUGAAAGCCUGCAGCUUAACUGCAGAAUUGCCAUUGNUACUGUUAGUCUUGAGUACAGUUGAGGUAGGCGGAAUGUGUCAUGUAGCGGUGAAAUGCUUAGAUAUGACACAGAACACCGAUUGCGAAGGCAGCUUGCUAAGCUGUAACUGACGCUGAGGCACGAAAGCGUGGGGAGCAAACA